This 253-nucleotide ribosomal RNA is filed under the name uncultured bacterium. RNAcentral's name for it is "partial 16S ribosomal RNA". It matches the Rfam family "Bacterial small subunit ribosomal RNA", at positions 524 to 776 of the family's 1533-position model. The record is from RNAcentral.
UACGUAGGUGGCAAGCGUUAUCCGGAUUUAUUGGGCGUAAAGGGAACGCAGGCGGUCUUUUAAGUCUGAUGUGAAAGCCUUCGGCUUAACCGGAGUAGUGCAUUGGAAACUGGGAGACUUGAGUGCAGAAGAGGAGAGUGGAACUCCAUGUGUAGCGGUGAAAUGCGUAGAUAUAUGGAAGAACGCCAGCGGCGAAAGCGGCUCUCUGGUCUGUAACUGACGCUGAGGUUCGAAAGCGUGGGUAGCAAACAGG